Non-coding RNA from Brassica napus (rape), 83 nucleotides. The record is from Rfam. NCBI's taxonomy places the organism in Eukaryota, Viridiplantae, Streptophyta, Magnoliopsida, Brassicales, Brassicaceae.
CUGACAGAAGAGAGUGAGCACACAAAAGUAAUCUGCAUAUACUGCAUUUGCUUCUCUUGCGUGCUCACUGCUCUUUCUGUCAG